This 275-nucleotide unclassified non-coding RNA is filed under the name Hevea brasiliensis (rubber tree). The record is from RNAcentral. Lineage: Eukaryota; Viridiplantae; Streptophyta; Magnoliopsida; Malpighiales; Euphorbiaceae.
ACGGAUAGCCCGAAUCAUGUCCCUGAGACGCGUGCCGGAGGAAAAGGGGUUCAUGAUUGGGUCCGCCUUGAAACUAUGAGAAAGCUCGAUCAGAUCCAGGAGUGCUGACUAUUUUAACUGUUUACGAGUAGAUUUAAUUGCAAAAUGAGAGCAGAAUCUAUCAAUGGAGAUCUGAGGAAGAUGCAAUUAAAGCAUCUGAGAAUCAAUCAGUUGCUAAUUGGGUUGAAAUUGGUCGUUUUGGAUCUGAAAAUGAACAAAACAAGAAGAAGAAAGAG